AGAGUUUGAUCUGGCUCAGAUUGAACGCUGGCGGCGUGCCUAACACAUGCAAGUCGAGCGGUAACAGGUGUAGCAAUACAUGCUGACGAGCGGCGAACGGGUGAGUAAUGCUUUGGAAUCUUCCCAGUAGUGGGGAAUAACCAGUCGAAAGAUUGGCUAAUACCGCAUACGUCUGUAAAGGGAAAGCGGGGGCUCGUAAGACCUCGCGCUAUUGGAUGAGCCAAAGUCGGAUUAGCUAGUUGGUGGGGUAAUGGCCUACCAAGGCGACAAUCCGUAGCUGGUCUGAGAGGACGACCGGCCACACCGGAACUGAGACACGGUCCGGACUCCUACGGGAGGCAGCAGUGGGGAAUAUUGGACAAUGGGGGAAACCCUGAUCCAGCGACGCCGCGUGUGUGAAGAAGGCCUGCGGGUUGUAAAGCACUUUUAGUGGGGACAAAAAGCUACGGAUUAAUACUCUGUGGUCUUGAUUUAACCCAAAGAAAAAGCACCGGCUAACUCUGUGCCAGCAGCCGCGGUAAUACAGAGGGUGCGAGCGUUAAUCGGAAUUACUGGGCGUAAAGCGCGCGUAGACGGUUUUGUAAGUCAGAUGUGAAAUCCCUGGGCUCAACCUGGGAACUGCAU
This 624-nucleotide ribosomal RNA is filed under the name uncultured bacterium. Its description in RNAcentral is "bacterial SSU rRNA". It matches the Rfam family "Bacterial small subunit ribosomal RNA", at positions 8 to 626 of the family's 1533-position model. The record is from RNAcentral.